Tripterygium wilfordii is the source of this 1131-nucleotide long non-coding RNA. RefSeq lists it as uncharacterized. The record is from RefSeq and is a predicted model, not a curated record. Lineage: Eukaryota; Viridiplantae; Streptophyta; Magnoliopsida; Celastrales; Celastraceae. The transcript is spliced from 2 exons.
AUGUUCAAUAGUUUUUGAACUGAAUAAAUUUAGGAAUUAAAUAUCGGUGAUGCUAUGAAUUUCAAAUUUUGAUGCAUAUAUAUUUAUUUUUGAGGCUUAUCAAUGAAAUCACACCAUUUAUCAAUGAUGAACAAUAUUUUCUUUUGAUGAUGAGAAGAUUGAUCUUGAACUCUUGUGUGUGUCACCUGAUGACUCAUAAAAUGCACAGUUUUUAGUUCAUGGUUUUUCAAUUCUCUUGUUGGCUUAAAGUUAAUUGCAAUUUUUUUCUUGACAAAACUCUUGUAGCAAAUAUUUGUUCAUUAUCUUCCAAUGACAUCGAAAAAGUGUUUCAAAACCCUCCAAAUCAUAUUCCUCCUUUGGAACGCCAUAGGUAGAGUGGUAAAAGACUUUUUCCACAUCAAAAAAUAAGAAGAGAGCUACUAACUCUGCUUCCACUUAGCCUAUGGUACCCGUGCCCAGAAUUUUUCAGAUUCUUGUGCUUGGGCUAUAAUCCUGAGCAAAUUAGGCUGGCUGCAGUCCAUGAAUCAUGUUGUAUGUUAGCUCUAAAGGAAGAGCACAGAUGUCGUGGUCAGCAAUGAAUGUAAAACACAUGAGAUGCGUUUUGGUUUUGUUUAUAUGAUGAGUAAGUGUUUUCUUAUAUGGGACAUUGUUGCAGGCGAGUUUAUGCACAUGUGAGUGUGCUUGUCCUACAGCUAAGCUACAUGUAUAUAUUGUCGUAAAUGGAAAAUUUUCCUGGACACAUGGCUCUCACAACCAAGUUGAACUGUAAGUCCUCGCAGGGGCAGGGAGGAGCUCUGCCAAACGAGAAGUUGAAGCGGAGCGAUCCUGCAGCCCAAUGCUAGUUCGCGAAUGGAGACUCCUGGUGCUUCGUGAAGAACGAGAUGUCCCAAUUGGAAGUACCACAGCACGGAUCAUGGAACAGGUCUUUGUUUCUCAAGUCUGGCUCCAUCUUUCGCAAUUGAGAUUGGACGCUAGGGAUGGGGAGAUUCAGGGAUUGAUACAUCUGCUUGUUGUAUCAGACUUGAGACCAUCUCAAUCAAACAUAAUAGAGAAAAGAGAGAAGCAGAUCGAGGAGUGAGAGUGAGACCUCAGGAUCUGUUUGAUCUAAGUGAAGUAGAGGGAAAGGAAGAG